This 38325-nucleotide long non-coding RNA is filed under the name Capsicum annuum. RNAcentral's name for it is "long non-coding RNA (CANN_LNC001848)". Lineage: Eukaryota; Viridiplantae; Streptophyta; Magnoliopsida; Solanales; Solanaceae. The record is from RNAcentral.
AAAAAAAAAAAAAAGAUGACCGAUAAAAGACUGAAGAUAUUUUCUAUGGGGUCAAUGUGUGUAUAGAUUAUAGCAGGAUGACCUAAUAUUUAAUAUAUCGUUUUAUAAAUUUCAUCGUUAUCAAUGAACUUAUUGCGAGAUUAUUCAAGUAUAUUCCUUUUAAUAUUUAAGGCUGUUUUUUCUAUUUUAUUUCUAGAAUAGGAAUUAGGACCAUGGCUUGUAGUAUAUUUUUUCUGGUUAAAAUAGACAUAUUAGUUUGAAACUUCAACUACUCUCUAGACUUUUGGAACAGACUUAUGACUAGAUUUUCUUAUCCAAUCCACAAAAUCUCAUAAUACUUUGACUUAUCAAGUUGUAUAUCUUUUCGAAUAUGAUCUCGAAAUAUUUUGUAAACGAGAAAGUCAAUAUUCUGUAUAUAUUAUUACUUCAAAACACAUAAAUUUUGAAUUUAGAAGCAUUAGAUAUGCUAUUCAGUUUGUUUUAGAAACAGCACUUAAUAUUUUUUUUUCUUUUCUGUCUAUUUGCUAGAACUAAACGGCAGCCCAUUAAACAAAUAUGAGUGUCACUAUAUACAGAAAGACAUACAAAGAAUUAACAAAAGAUGUCAAACGAGUACCAAAAACAAUGAGGUAGAUUAGAUACAUCUUCAUAACUAACUAAAAUUUUAAAACAACCUCCUGCAUUUUUUUUAAGAAGUGUAACUUGAUACAAGUGAAUAACAAAGCUACUGGAAGAUGCUAUAAAAAGCCGAUCUUGAUUUAGCAUUUUAGCUAUAUUCUGCUUCGAUAUCUUCUCUUUUGAGCUGAGGGUCUAUUGGAAACAGGCUUCCUAAAUCCUAACCAAUAAAGGCAGGGGUAAGGUUUGUCGUACAUCAUAUGGGUACGUUGUUGUUGUAGCUACGUGUAUCGAAUUCUAUCUUAUGUAUAAGCAGCAGCUGGUAGUAUUUGAAAGCUACCUGUGUUAAUGUAACUUGAUAAUCUGCCUCAGUUGCCAGAUCCAAGAGUACAUCAUUCCGAAUGCACAGCAUAUGCUGAUCAUCAUAAGAGGCAAGAAAGGAAGCCUCUCAGCAAAGAGGAUAGGAUGAACAAAUUGUCCAUAUAUCUCAACGGCCAGGAGACCUAGCAAGUAUAAUUUGCCAAAAGAUCCAACGAUAAACCUUGUUUUGUCAUAUCUUGUCUGUUCCGUUUCAGCUGUUUUUCUAUUAGUUGUUGUAAAAUAAGAGGAGAAUCCAAUCCACGUCAGCGUAGCAUGUAAAAGCAGUAAGAGAAAUUUGAUUGGAUAUUCUUGGACUUCAAAUAAUAGCGGGAAAAGAGAAUAGCAGGACACUGCAUGCACAGCAGGGUUAUGUAUUAGUUUCUGGAAAUAAAUGUUACAGAACGAUACAAGACCCAAACACAAAAAAGGAGAAGCAGCAGCAACACAACAACAAUAGUAAUCGAAAAAACAGGCAAAGGAAGAAAGACAGGAAGGUAUGUUGAUGGAUGUCCUAUUCCAUCUGCAAAGAUAUCAAGAAGCCAGCUUAAUGCAAAGGGAUAAUUUUGAGGUCGGCCAUGAAAAAACUGAGUCACUGGGCAAAGUUGGAUAGCUCAAGAAUACACUAUAACAAAAUGGCUGACAUACAGCUAAGUAUAGAACAUAUCAGUUCUUACUUGCGGAGCAUUUCUAGUAAUUCAUUCUUUCUAACUGAUGGAGUAAUACUAAAACUAAUAAGAUGGUGGUUGCAGUUUUGAUUUUCUGGGACACAAAAGAUCCAGAGCAAAUUCCCUAAAUCUUCAAUAGUGCCUAACCCACCUACCCAAAACCCCCGAAUAAAAGAAAAGGCUAAAACUUAAAGCUGUUUAUUGAUUAAUCCACAUUUCAUACAUGCUAAUUUGUUUGUUUAUUUCCCAGUGGAAUUUAAUUGUGCCUAGUAGUCAUUCAAGGUAAUACUGAUUCAUCAUGUUAAAGAUAAACUACAAUGACAUCAUUUUUGAAACAUAUGUUUUGACCUAUUGGAGUCUCAUUAUGUCUUAAUAUUGACACUAAUAAUAGAUGGUGUCUGAAAGUACCAACUUAUUUCCAACUGAAAGAGAUCUGAUUGCUGUAGAGUCAGAUACAAUGAGCUAAUAACGGUAAAAGUAAAUAGACCAAAAUAAGAUAUAAGAAUAAAAGAACACCAAUGUAGGAACAACUUCUAGAAGAAGGUAGCAAACAGAAGCAUGACUGAACUAUGCAGAAAGAUACAAAUAUGAAUUUAUCUGUAAAUUGAGAUGGCUAGAGACUAUCACAUAAAUCACAUUGUAAUACAAAUUCAGGUCUACCAGAUGACUUUGAGAGUUCAACCAUUGCAAACAAGUAACUAAGACAGGGAAUUACCUAUGGACAAAUAGAAAUAGUGGUUUGCAUCUUCCACACUUUUCAAGGCAAUGAUGGCAAGGGGAAUCACAAAGUGAAGUGAGGCUUUCUCAUGGACAUGCCAGCCAAACAUAAAGCCACAUGUGUAAGCAUAGGCUAUCCAUCUUGUAAUCAUCCUUGGUUGGGGAUUUCUCCAAGCCUUUACAAGACAUGGAGCUAUUGCAAGCAAGACGAUACUGAAGGUAAUAAAGGGGGUGACCUGCAAUAUUCAAGUCUCUGUAAGCAUGGGCUGUUCACAAGUCCUCUUAACUAAUAUUGUUUGGUGAAAGUUAACUCUUUUACCAUGUUUUUCAAUUUUUAAAUUCCUAAUUAGGAGUUGGCAAACAAAGUUAUUGUCAACAAACAAAACACAGACACACACACAACAUAUCUAGAAUGAUGAGAUGAAUGGGUAUGCUUACUCUAGGUAACACAGCAAAAGGGGAGGAGUCCCCAACUAGUCCACCAGUGAAUGAAGCUGUUGGUGCUUGAACAUUGAAGCCCAUUCUUACAAGCAAAAAUGCUAACACUUUAUCAAGAAUUAUAUAGAAUACCCAGAAGUUCGGAGCCCAGUAAGCAUGACAGAGUCCCCUACCAAAUGGAAACAUCCGAUGGAACACUUGCUGAAUCUGCAACAAGGUUCAAAGCAGUUGGAAAUUUGUCAGGAGAUGAUGAUAUAACACACAGGCAACGAAAGUCCUACUUUAUCAUACUAUUCAAUAAACAGAAACAACCAUUUUGAUCAGCCAAGGUUAAAUUUGAAACAAAGUUAUCCAACUGCAGUACAUUUCAACCAUCAUCAGAGACCAGGCAAAGCUGCUAAAGAAUAAAACUAACAAGACAAUAAGACUUACGGAAGUACAUUUCAGCAAUCAAUGUCACGUUUCUACAAUCUUUUAACUAGCUAGAUGCAAGCCAUAACGUUGGAGCAAUUACUAAUUUUUAUUAGUAAUAUUUAGGAGCCUAGAAGGGGAGCCUUGGAGUAACUGGUAAGGUUGUUGCCAUGAGACCUCCGGUCACGGGUUCAAGCCUUGGAAACAGCCCCUUGCAGAAAUGUAAGGUGAGGCUGCGUAUAAAAGAUCCUUGUAGUCGGGCCCUUCCUCGGACCUGCACAUUGCGGGAGCUUAGUGCACCGAGCUGCCCUUUAUAAUAUUUAUUUAUGAGUCCAACGUCUAAAUGCAGCGACAUGGUUUGUGAGGAUUCAUAUAGAUGAAUCCAGCUAGGAAGCUUUUUUUCUGAUAGGGUAAGAUAAAUUUCAUUAAUAGAGUACCAAGAAGGCUGCAAACAACAAAACAAUAGAUUGCAGCAUUACUAUUUUUACUAUACCCCCCAAGAAUCCAACAAACUUGAGAUUGAGGUGUUGGUGUGAUUCUAAGAACCUAAAUGUCAUCUUAUUACUAGACAUAAUUACAAAAUUAUCCAUGCAUUCUUGAUGAACUAAAUCUUCCUGACAAUGAAAAGAAGACAAUGGAAUACCAGUAAAUAACAUCAAAUUCUAGAUGUGAUCCAAAUAGGGAAUAACUAGAGAAUCAACUCACAUAGAGAACUAAAGAUCAGAACUUUACCUGUCCAUGAUACAGAAAAGGCCCAUAAGCAGCAGCAAAAACAGCUACAACGGCACUCCCCAUAAUAACCAAUCUCCCAAACCAACUAAUGAACCCACCGCUACAAUAAUGCCUCAACAGAUAAACAAAAUAAACAGGAGCAGCAACAGCAAACAAAUGCUUAAAACACAACAAAACUGCAAAAACAAAACCACCUAACAAAUCCUUCCCUUCCUCCAAAGCCGAAAGCGAGAUCAAAAGAAUCCCCAAUAGAAACCCAUUAUACUGAAAAUGCAAAUGGUCCACAAUCAUCAACCCUGGCGAAAAAAUAACCAAUACCCAGAUCAAAACUCUCUCUUUACACCCCAAAUUCCUUGUCAAUCUAUAAAUACCAAAAACCAACACAAAAUCAGUUAUAAUAACACUAAUUCUUUGAAAAAGGAUUGUGGGUUUUGACUUAUAAUCAAGACCAUGAUGGAUAUGGACCAUAAUGGGGUCCACAAAGGAAGCAAAGAAAGAUAGAAAAUGCUCAAACUGUGCAAAAAAUGGCGGGUAAUCGAGGGUCCAUGGACUUGUUUCGUCGGAGUACCAUUGAGAAAGUGGAAGGGAGUGAGUAAUAGCAAGCCAAUUACGGUGGACCUCGAAAUCUGUGCUGUGAUAAGCUGGGAUUAGGAGGAAUUUGAUGCAUGUAGAUACAAGAGAAACCCAUAUGAUCUCUGUGAUGGGUCUUUUGAAUUCGGGUUCGGGUUUGGGUUUGGGUUUUAGGAUCCGGGUUUGAUUGUGGUGGUUCUUUGCCGGUUUCAUGGCGAAGUGGUAGUGUUUGGGGGUCAAGAUUUGGGGGAGGUUGAAGAGGAAGAAGGUGACGUGUCAGCAGCGACACGUCAUGAUUGUCCAUGUCAGCAUCUAUCUGGCUUUGUUGGGUUGGGUUGGGUUGGGCUGGGUUUUAACUUGUUGGGUUAAUAUUUGUUUUGGCCCAUUCUGGCCCAGCUAUUCGAUGGAUGAUUUUGAGUCCAACCCAUUAACCCUCUAACUUGAAGUUUGGAAGAAUUGGCCGGAUUGAUUUUGCCACCUUUGAGAAAAGGGGAACAGUAUCUUAUUCUAUCCGAUCGUAGAAGCAUUCGGAAUGGGCUCCGCAGUUUGUUUUUAUAGUGAAGUGAUCUUUUAUUUUUGUUUCUACUAUUCAUUUAAUGAAAAUUUGUAGAUCAAGGUUUUAUAUAGACUUACGCCUCAUUUGUUUGCACUUAAUGGAGAUCUGAAUCUAAAUAGUUCAGAUUUCAGACCAUUAAAUGCAUAUAUUUUUUAUUAAAAUUUUAGCUCAUAAUAGGUUUGAAUAACUUUUAAUCAUUCAGAUCCGGUAUCGAGUCUUAGGCCUCAUUUGUUUGCACUUAAUGGAGGUCUGAAUCUGAAUGGUUUAGACUUCAGGCCAUUAAGUGCAUUUGUUUUUUAUUAAGGUUUUAACUCUUAGAGGUCGUUUGGUAUAGUGUGAUAAAAAAUUAAUGUUUGCAUUAGCUCUUAUGUAUUAUUAAUACCUUGUUUGGUAUUUUUUUUAACCUUUGUAUAACUAAUCUAACAAUUAGUUAUACACUCUAUUGUGUAUUAUGCUACGCACAACUAAUACCACCACUUUUCUAUGUAUUAGUAAUUCAUAGCUUUCAAUACAUGCAUUAUCUAAUUAAAACGAAUUUACCCUUCAACUUUUUCCCAAUUCCUUUUCCAUUCUUGUCCCAAAAGUAUCUCAUUUCACUGGAAAUUUGGUGCAGCUUCAAUGUUCAUUCUGGCAAACUUUUCCAUUCUUGUCCCAAAAGUAUCUCUUUUUUCCGACGAACUUUUCGUCGGUUUCGUAGUCAAAAUUUUUUAUUUAGAUAAAGUGAUAAUUAAGUUUCUUUCUACAAUAGCUACGGUUGCUCCCAAUUAGAGACUUUCAUUGUGGCCAUCUGCAGAAAUUGCUAGAGAAGAAAUCUUAGCAUAUGGGAUAUUGCUUACAGAUAAGUAAAGAAACGUUUUGGUCAUCUAUACAAAUUGCUAGAGAAGAAAUCUUAGCAUAUGAUUGAUGCUUGUAGAUAAGUGAAGAAAAGUUUUUGUUUCUGACAGAAGAUUGGAAAUAGAGUAUAAAAUGCUAAUUAAAAGGUAUUUUAGUAAAUAAGUAUUAUUUGAUAAAAAUUAUAUUUUAUAUAUUUUUUAAUACAUCAAACCAAACAGUGUGUAAGAAAUAUCGUAUGCAUAACUAAUACCAGCAUAACUAAUACAAACACUACUAAUGCAAACAUUAUUAACAUACACUAUUUUGUAUUAUUCUUAUACAUUCUACCAAACGACCUCUUAGUAGGUUUGAAUUGGUCUUAAUCAUUCAGAUCUAGAACCAAGUCUUAACAGGUCUGAAGGGAUAUUUUGGUGUUGGAUGAUAGUCACCACUCUAUUCAUAAUCAGCAGUCAUCACCACUAACCACCUCUGCCAGCUCACCAUUGUCAACCACCAACCACCUCCACCAUCAUAAUCUCCAUCGAUAAAAAAUACCUCUACAACCAUAAUUGUUAACCGCUACCACACCUACUACCUCUUUUAUUCUAAUUAUAUUCACCGUCACCACUGCCGCCAACAGCACCACAAUCAGCAACCGCUACCGGUCAAUCCCUACUACCAAUCAACUCAUCUAUCACAACUAGCAUCAUCACUAACUACCACUAAUAUAUCACAACCUCUACACAUUCUUUGGUCGCCACCACCAUUGUCACUAGUAACGUCACUUCUACCACCACUUCAACCAGUACUAUCGCUAUAAUCUAUUUCUACUAGCAACCAUCUCCACUAUCAUAAUAAAUAACAUCUCCAAUUAGCACAACACAUCGUCAAUCAUCAUGCAUUUAUUUUUCGGCCAACACAAUCAACACCUUUAACUACUAACAUCUAGCAACGUCACAUCACAACAACCACCACCACAAUCAAUCACCACCAUCAUAACAGUCACUAUAAUAUCAACCAUCACAAUUAUCACCACCAACAUUAUUAAUCACCAACAUCAAUCAUUGUCACCGCAACCACCAUUAUAAGCCAUAUCCACUAUCACUAACAAACAUAAAUAUUUUUUCUCAAUCAAAUACUAAUAAUUUUAUUGUAUUAAAUUAUACACGUCUUUAAUAUAUAAUUAAUUUUUUAUCUGAAUUUUAUUUUUUAUUUUAUUAUGUAUACAAAUAAUUUUUUUUACACAUUCAGAUGUUGGAUGUUGAAAACAAACAGUCUUAAUCAUUCAGUUUUCAGAUCUACAAACAACAUCUUAGUAAUUCAGAUGUGCAUUCAAAUUCAGACGUCUGAAUCUUAAAAAAAACAAAUGAAGCCUUAGUAUCAUUAAGGGGUAUUCUUAUAUUAAAUAAUAUUCACCACCACUCCAUCCAGAAUCAUCAAUCACCACCACUAUCACCUCUAUCAUCGCUACCACUAACUACUUUCACAAUUACAGCCACCAUUGACAAUCAAAAUCCCUACCAACCACUAUUGUCAGUUGCUACAAAACCUACCACCUCUAUUAUUCAAAUUAUAUCCACCACUAUCUCUACCGCUACCCCAAUGCUAACAUCAAUUCCAACGCCAGCACCAUUAUCAACCCUUACCGACCAAUUCCUACUACCGACCAACUCAUUUAUCAUAACUAGCACCACCGCUAACUACCAUUAAUACAUUAUUAAAACCUCCAUACAUUCUUCGGCCGCCACUGCCAGCAUUGUCACUGGUAUCGCCACCUCUACCACCAUUUCAACCAUUAUCAUGGCUAUAAUCUAUCUCUACUAACAACCAUCUACACUAUCACAGCUAAUAGUGUCUCCAACUACCACCAACACAUAGUCAAACAUCAUAUAUUUAUUUUUCAGCCAUCGCAAUCUAUACUGUAGACAGGUAAUUUUAUCCCUCCCCAAAAGUAUUUUUACCUUUUUACCCCUGUCUUACUGCGUGCCCUCACCCGCGUGAUUAUAUCCCACAAAAAUAUAAAAAUAACAACCCUUAACAUAAUCCCUAACAAAUGCUAUCUUGUUUUAUUCCUAUCCUAACCAACUUUACACCUCAUCCUAACAACCUACCCCACCCAAUACCCUCCUACCCCACCUUCCCACAUGACCCCUCCACAUUUCUUCUCCACAAAGAAAAAAGGGAAUAAUAUAUACAUACGGCAAAGGGGGGCCCACUGGAAUUUUCGGACCCCACUACACCUCACCAUUUUCUUUAUAUACAAUAUAUAUAUAUAGAUAUAACAGGGAGGUGAGUCCAGAGAGGCAACAUCAUCUUCUCCAUUCAUACACCUCACCAUCUUUUUUCAUGCCAUACACAGAAGAUAAUUAAUCAUACACUCAUACAACAUCCUCCAUCGAGAAUCCAUAAAAACGCACUCAAUACAUAUCCCAUAUGGACGAUUUCACAUAAGAGGGGAGGCCAUUGUUGAGGACUUCAUUUUUCUUCUUCUUUUUCUGCUGCUACACACACGCGAGAGAAAUGGAAACAGCGAGAGAGAAAAAAAACAGGGGAGAGAGAUCGAAAGAGGAAAAAUAGUUUUUUCGAUAACAAGGUCACUGGAAUAGUGGCUUAAUCAUAGAUUUCGGCCAUCCUUCCUUCGUUGGCGGAGCUCCGGCGAAACUAGUAGCUCCAUGUCAUCCCCUAAAAUGCUGAAAUAACAAUAAAAAAAUAACCAUUUAUUGAUCGAACUCAGUUCCCUUUCUUCCAUUUUCUUUGAGCCCAAAACCCCACCCCUUCGUUUUGGUCUUCGCCGAAACUGAACGGAGUAGUAACGGGGUGCACGAAUCAGUAGGGUCUCUCGUUAUUUCUAGAUUUUUAUUUUAGUUCGGCGAAAACAGAGUGCGGGAUGAGAUUUGGGAAUCUAAUUUUGAUAUUAGAGGUUUGAUUCGAGGUUGAAAUCUGAUUUGGAAUUUGUGUUGAGGUUCGAUUCGACGUUUCGGUGCGGAUUUCAUCUCGUUUAAUCAAAUAAUACUUGAAAUCAGCAUUGAGGUCCAAUUCUUUCUUCUCUUCUUUUUAAUUCUUAUGUGAUUGUGAACUUGAUUCGAUGACGUAAAUCGUAUGUGAUUGUGAACUUGAUUCGAUGACGUGAAUCGUAUGUGAUUGUGAACUUAAUUCGAUGACGUGAAUCGUUGGUGAUUAUGAUUGUUGGAUUUUUUUGAUGUUGUGAUCAUGUGCUUGACGAUAUGAUUUCGGCAAUAUGUGGUAUGAAUUUGAGUAAUGUUGAUGGUGUGAUUGAUAAAAAUGAAGCUAGAUGGGGUGGAAUUGAGAAAUUGAUAAAAAUGGGUGAAUAUAGAUCAAUUUUGGUUUAUUGUCGUUAUUUUAAUUCGGAAUAAGCAUGAAUAUUAUUGGAACGCGAUAGAAUUAUGAUAUGUUUAAACGGAUAGGCAAAUGUAGGUUCGGAUAGGCAAAAAAUUUUGGAAUAAGUGUUUUGUUGAAUGUUUGAAUGAGGAAUGUGUGUUGAAUAUUUUCUAGUUUAUCGUACUUGAUUCAAGUGUAUUCAUUUGGCCGGGAAUGCCCCGAGGUUUCAUGUAUUUACUCACCGGGUAAUGCCCCGACGUAUUAUGUCUUCGAAGGAGGAUCGUGAUCAAGGUCCGAGGCAUCGGGUAAAGCAUUAGAGCAUAGUUUAGGAAUAGUGUAAGUUAGAAUAGGAUUUAUAUUUUGGCAUUUUUCUAUUUUUGACUGUAUAAUUAGACUGGACGCUAUAUUUUGGAUUGGAUUGUUUUGUUUGUUUUAUUGAUUGUUUUGAUGUACUUUUUGUGUGGUUUAUACAUGCGUAGUAUCAAAUUAGUCGAUAAGCUCCACCAAGCGACCGUGGUCGAACCACGGGAUCGAGGGGUGCCUAACACCUUCCCCUCGAUCAACAGAAUUUCUUAGUCGGAAUCUCUGUUUGCGGAUUAGUUUUAGAGUCAAAUUGUUUUGAAAAGGAUCUUUCAAAGGUAACUUGGUACACCGGAUUAUGUCAAGUGGCGACUCUGAAUAAAAAUAUAAAUCUUUUUUCAAAACAAAUUUUCAAUCUUUUGUCACUUUAAUAAUAAAAACCCUUUCGAACCUAAAAAUUUAAUCUUUUCGGGUUGCAAAAGGGGUGUGAUAGCUCCGGCAACUCUAUUGGAGAUUUUUCAAAAUUCGAGCUUAUUUUGGAGUUGUAUCGGCUUAGUUUGACGUUAUGAGUGUAUAAAUAUUUUAUUUGUGUUAUUGUUUGUGCUAUUAUUAUCAUUGUUGAGUGCUUACGUGCUACGUGUUUACAGUUUUAUCUUAUGUGUUACCGCUUUAUACCUGGCAUCAUGUGCAUAACCCGAGUCAUUCUUUUUGCAACAAGUCCAUAGUACACGCUGUGUACACGUAGUUGAGUCACCCUUAUCUUAGGAGGGGGAGCCGACGGCUGGUAUGGAGUGGGUGGAAAGGUAAACCAACCACUAUCGACCAUAUGCUCCCCCGAACAGCCUUGUUAGUAAACCUCAGCGUUGGUCAGCCUUUAGAUCAUGCUUAUCUACAUCAUAUUGAGAUCUAGUGGGACUCACUUGGUCCUUUGUAGGAGACUCAUCUCUGAAGCAUCCCUACGUGCUAAAUAUUGCAUUUUUUUAGGGUAACGGGGUUAUUUGAUAGACUGAUUUUGGUAAAAACAAUUGUUAGAAGCAAAGUGUGUAGGUAAGAAAUUGUUGAAAAAAAGAUUGAAAAAAAAAAAGGAAAAAAGAGUUUCGUAAUUUUUUUAGAGUUCUUGAUGACUUUUAUUUUUCACAAUAAAAAAUUUAAAAAAAAAUUCUACCUUUUUCACGCAUUUUCUCAAAAAAACAAAACAAAAGAAAAACAUCAAAAAGAUUUUCUUUUGAUUUCUUUAGCAUGCAUUCAUAAUUCAAAACUUUCAAAAAAAAAAUAAAAAAUUAAUAGGAGUUUUUUAUAAAAGAAAAAUUAAGAAAAUAGUAGAAGUUCUGUACAUUUCAUUUAGCGAAAAUACUAAAAGGAUUUUUUCUUUCAUAGUUAUUGGUGUCAGUUUUAUGUGAAGUGUCAAAUGAGAAAAAGUCAAAAAAAAAAAAGAUUUUAUUAACGUUGUUCAUUGUUUGUCUUUGGUCGUAUCUCUCAAGUCAGGGUAUAGUUUGUUAUUCAAUUAUUGGUUGUCCAAUCUGGACGAACUACGCACCCCUGAUACUCCUCUCUCUGGAGUGAGAUACGUAGGCAGCCUAUUCUUGGUUCGGGGAUCUUAUUUCAAAAAAAUCCAAAAAGAUUUUCUUCACUCUUUAUUUAGAGUAAGUCUUUCAUAUACAUCUUUAAAAGAAAACUACAAAAUGAUUUUUCUUUAAUAGGUUCAAGUUUCAUUUUCAUAUGAAAUUCAAAAUUGAAAACCCAAAAAGAUUUUUCUUUGACAAUCAUAGGUUUCAUUUUGUAUAGGAAUUUUAAACGUGAAAAAUGCAAAAAGAUUUUCAUCAAUUCUUUUGACAAUUUGUUAUUUCCUUUUCUCUGUGAACUUUUAAGAAAAAGAAAAAAAGAAAGGAAAAAGAGUUUGGUUGGCCAUUUUGGCAAAACUUCACGAACUAUGCACCCCUGAUUCUCCUCUCUCGAAAGUGAGAUACGUAGGCAGCCUAUUGCUGGUUCGGGAAUGUUAUUUAAAAAAUCAAAAAAAAAGAUUUUCUUCUCCUCAUUUAGAGUAGGUGUUUCAUAUAUGCCUUCAAAAGAAAAAUACAAAAAGAUUUUCCUUAAUAAUCGUAGGUUUUAUUUUUGGUGGAUCUUACUUGAAAAAUCCAAAAACAUUUUCCUUUAAUAGGUUUAAAUUUCAUUUUGUAUGAAACUCAAAAUUGAAAGCCCAAAAAGAUUUUCUUUGGUAAUUAUAGAUUCAUUUUGUAUAAGGAUUUAAACUUGGAAAAUACAAAAAAAAAUUUGUCAAUUCUUUUGACAAUUUGUUAUUUUCUUUUCUCUGUGAAGUUUCAAGAAAAAGAAUGGAAAAAGAGUUUAAUUGGUCAUUUUUGUAAAACUUCACGAACUACGCACACCUGAUUCUCCUCUCUCAAGAGUGAGAUACGUAGGCGCCCUUCUUGGGUUCGGUGAUCUUUUCAACAGAAAAAAAAGAAGGAAAAAGAGGUUUUGAAAAAUAUGUUGAACUCUAACAGAUUUGCUGUUUUUUUUUUGUUGAGUCAGUUUAAGGUGGUUGGUUUGUGGCAUUCUGACUAGUCCUCCAUAUCACACUAAAUCCAAGGAAGGGUUAGUUGUGUCCAACAAGGAUAUAGAGAGUGACAUCAUGGAUUAAACAAAGAGUCAGGAAAUUUAGAGUUUAAAGGAAGAGAAUUUGAGACUGAGACAACAAAUAACAGAAAUGCACCGAGCUUGGGCAUGUGGGUUGCCUCUUCCUCGUCUAUUUUUCUCUAUUGAUCCUACAAAUACCUCGAGUUUUUCACUAAAAUUGUAAAGUCAGUGUCCUAUUGUUGUUGAUGCACCGCAACAUGACUCAAAAUUCAUUCCAACCCCAAAGCAUCUCAAUAUUUCCACCACUUUUUGUCUAGCUCCUCAGUAUAAGACUGCUACAUUCACAACACCACAUGUCGUUCGUGAUCUUGUUGCUCAAUCCUUUAUUGAGGCUUCUACAUUGGCUAGCCGACCAACGAUUGUGCUUCUCCAUGCUGCUAAUGGACCCUUAUUCAAUACUCUUGAUAAUCGUUGCUAUACUCUAGAUCCUACUUUUAAGCUAGCUGGACCACCAAAAUUUCUUAACAAGAAGCCUAGUGUGCCAGAAGAGCCAGAGAAAAUGGUUGGAAAAAUGAAGAAUGCAAGAAAUGCUGUGAAAAGUUCCCUAAGACCUGCGAGUGAAGAAUAUGUUUCAUACAAAAAUAGGGGCAUGUCUUCAAGUGUUAACCCUCCUCCAAGCCUUGAGAUAUCAAAAUUCGAGGAGCAAGAUGGACAGAAGGAAUUCAUGAAAUAUUUGGGAUAAUAUUGCAACCAAUUAAAGGAAACUGGAGGGGAGAAGAAUGGAAAAAAUACAACUGCUGUUAUAGUUGGAGAACGGGCACAUCCAAGUAGACGACAUCAUCGUUGCCGUCUGUCUCAAGCCCAAGUUCAUACCCAAACUCUCUAUAAUCCCUCUUAAAAUCCAUUAUACUCUAUUUUUCCACCUCUAUAUCUAGCAUAUUGCGCACAACCAUAUGUUUAACUCCUUUUUUACUCACAAUGGCGCGCACCAACUCCUCAGAGUCACCCUCCGACUCCAAAAACCUACCAAAUCCCUUCUAGGCCCGAUUUUGGAUUCAGGCCAAAUAAUGAGACGAGGAAAAAAUUGAGGGAUUGCUUCACACCAAAUUGAGAGUCGUAUGCUAGCUUAUUUCAAAGAUUGGUAUAAUGGCGCAUGAUCACACUUCUCCUUGGGCACACUCUUAAUCCCCGUUCAAGAAAUUUUAAUCCUAAUGCACGAUAUGCAUAUCAUUCUGAUGCUCGGGGUCAUAGUACUAAAGAUUGCCAAAAUUUGAAAAGAGAAAUUGAAAAGACGAUUCAAGAUGGAUCAAUUAUAGUACAGAACAUUGACAGUGAGAGAAGCUCUAGUCAUGCUGAUAUGCAAAUCAGUAGCUAAGUUGUCAGGAUUAGCAAUUGAAAAGUCACCCCUCUCCCUACGAGGAAGAGGUUUGUUUUGUUUUCUGUUUUCUGAAUUAUUUCAGGGUUGUAGUUCGGGAUCCAUCUUGUUUUGUCCCUUUAUCGUUUAUGUUCAAACCCCUUUCUCUUUUAUUUUAACUAACUGAAGUGUCCCUUUUUAUUUGUGUUUUAAAUAUGUGUUAUUUUUGUUUGUUUUUUUCACAUAGUACAUUUUAUGUUGAUUCUAGUGAUAUAACAUGCCAGCGGAAUUUUUAAUCAGAUCUUAAAAUCCAAUUUAACCAUGAAACAAUGAAUCAGAGGUUUAAGUUUGUAAAAAAGAAUAUUUAAGGAAAUAGGUAGAGUGCUGAGCUAUUUGGUGACAAGUUGAAGCCUUUCUUGAAAAUUAAGGCACUUAUUUUGAGAAUCACAAGAAUAACUUGGUCAUCAAUUGAAAGACAUGUCUCAAUUAGGUCAAAUAGUGACUGCAUAAACAGAACGAAAAUCAGCUUCACAAAAUCAUGAGUUAUUCAAUGUGAGGAAUAUGCAACAAAAGUGGAGUUGUACGCUAGAAAAGAGCAAAAGAAAUAGUGACGCACAGACUCAGUCAAAGUUAAUGCUGCAAAAGAUUUCUCAAAUGAUCUUCAUCUUUUACUUCCAUAUUGCAUGAUAUGUACUUGCAUUUUUAAGGAUUGAUAGGGCGAAGGCAUUUCAUUCUGCUAUCCAAAUAUUGUGUCAUCCUUUGUUUACCCCAUUUGAGCUUUAGUCCUAUUUUCUUUCAUACCCCUCUUUUGGAAUCAAGAUAGAGUCAGUAAAACUCAAAAGAAAAGUGUUGAGAAAAAAAAUAUGUCCAAAAGAAAAGAAAAGAGAAGAGUAUCAAAAAUAGGGUCAGACAAAAAAAUCCCAAACAGAAAAGAGAAAAAAAAAGAAGAAGAAACAAAAAUCAGAAUCAAGCAAAAGAACAAGCUGCCAGAACUACGCGUGACCUGAUUCUUCUCUCUCGGGGGUGAGAUACAUAGGCUGUCGUACUCUGGGCUCGGUCUAACUAAACAAAUAAUUUAGAAUUGUCCAGUCAAAAGAAACUGGGGCAUGAGUUAAUCCUUAUUGUUUUUGUCGAUUCCAAAAGUUGUUAGUCCUACCUACCCCACUUCAAGUGUCGUUUGAGCCUCAUGCCAUCCUUUAUUUCUUACCUUAUCUAAAAGUCGAGUUACAACCAAAGAAAGACCUUCAGAUCAAUCUUUGAAAAUGUUAAGGCUAAGUAUGCAAUGGAUAUGAUGACGCAUUUUGGAAACCACUUGUCUGCCUCAGCAUAAGGAAUCGGGAGAGAAGUAAAAAUGAGAGAGUCUUAUUGGUGAAAACCCUCACGGGCACUGUGAGAUGAAUGGUAAGUUGAGAUAAAUAAAAAUGAGAGAGUCUUAUUGGUGAAAACUCUCACGGGCACUGUAAUGCAACGGUGAGUUGAGACAAAUGAAAAUAAGAGAGUCUCAUUGUUGAAAACCCUCGCGGACAACAUAAGACAAUGGCGAGCUGAGAAAAGAAAAAUGAGAAAGGUUUUUUGGCAAAAACCAUUCAAGGGACCACUAGCCGAAUGAGGUCUUAAAUGUAAUUAACCUAAGGAAGAAGCUCAAUUUUGAGGUCAUUAACUCAACAAAAAUUGGUGGAAAGUUUUAGAUAGAAAGAUCAGGCAGUUUAAUUCGAUAUGCAUGUCAUAAUCAUUAGAGUUGACUGUCAUUUUCAGAUAAACUUUUCUUUCAUAUUUUUCAUUAGGGAUAUUCAUUGUCGUUUCUUUCUUCCCUUUAGUUAUAUUUUUAUUUUCUUGAGUAAGUUAUCCAAAUAAAACCAAAAUUAUUAUCAUUUUUCUCUUGUCUUUGAGUCAAGUCCAUGUCAAACCAAGUGAGAAAAGAUUUCAAAAAUAGCCACCAGCUUCUUCAAUUGCACAAAGCAAGACAAUGGGCCAGCACAUGAAAGAAACAAUAUUGUAAGUCAGAACAAAGCAUGCAGAAAGUUUUGUCAAUAGACGAGUCUAGGAACUCAUAAAAAUACCAAGGUUUAAAGGAUUUAUCUAAGGAGCAUGGCAAAGCAUAGAUACUGUGUUUGUUUCAGAGUCAUUUCCCUUAAUCUCUGUUUGGUUCAAUGACACGAUAAAGCAGGGGCAAGUGCCAGCAAUCUGAAACAAAAUGAAGGGAAUGAACACUGGAGCAGGGGUCGGGACAGCAAGAGCCGCAAGCCACCACUAAGUUUUUAACUGACAAAUUUUCUUUGUUGAAACAGGGGCAAACUCGCUUCACUUAAUUCAGCUACCAUUGGAAAUGCACAUCCGUGAGAUUUUACUUUAUGUUCAGGACCCUCCUGAAAAGUGGAAUUGUACUUUAUGUUCAAGACCCUCCUUAAAAAUGGGAAUUUACUUUCUGUUCAGGACCCUCCUGAAAAAUGGGACUUUACUUUCUGUUCAGGACCCUCCUGAAAAAUGGGACUUUACUUUCUGUUCAGGACCCACCUGAAAAAUGGGAACAUACUUUCAGUUCAGGACCCUCCUAAAAAAUGAGAAUUUACUUUAUGUUCAGGACCCACCUGAAAAAUGAGAACAUACUUUCAGUCCAGGUCCCUCCUGAAAAAUGAGAAUUAACUUUAUGUUCAGGACCCUCCUGUAAAAUGGGAACUUACUUUCUGCUCAGGACCCUCCUAAAAAAUGAAAAUUUUACUUUCUGUUCAGGACCCUCUUGAAAAAUGAGAUUUUGCUUUCUAUUUAGGACCCUCCUGAAAAUGUGAUUUUACUUUUUGUUCUGGACCCUCAUGAGAAAUGGGACUUUACUUUCUGUUCAAGACCCUCCUGAAAAAUGAGAUUUUACUUUCUGUUCAAGACCCUCCUGAAAAAAUGGGAUUUUACUUUCUGUUCAGGACCCUACUGAAAAUAGGACUUUACUUUCUAUUCUUGACCUUCCUAAAAAAAUGGGACUUUAUUUUAUGCUUAGGACCCUCCUGAAAAAUAGGAUUUUACUUUCUGUUCAGGACCCUCCUGAAAAAUGGGAUUUUACUUUCUGUUCAAGACCCUCCUGAAAAAUAGGAUUUUACUUUCUGUUGAGGACUCUCCUGAAAAAUGAGAUUUUACUUUAUGUUCAGGACCCUCCUAAAAAAUGGGACUUUACUUUCUGUUCAGGACCCUCCUGAAAAAUGAAAUUUUAAUUUCUGUUUAGGACCCUCCUGGAAAAUGGAGAUUUACUUUCUUUUCAGGACCCUCCUGGAAAAUGGGACCGUAAUUUCAAACAGUGAAAUCGUUCUUUAUUAUGAUCUUUGAUUAGGAUAAUUCUCCUUCUAGUUUUAUUAUGAUUUCAGGAGCCCGGCUGAAGAACAGGGUGAUAAAAUGGGAAAUUAAAGAAAUUGCAAGUCAGGAGCUCACCUGAAGAAUAGGGUGAUGAAACUGAAGGUCUAACAACAAGGUGAUUAAAUGAAAAACCAAGCAACAAGGUGAAAAAUUACAAAUGAGGAGCCCACCUGAAUAAUAGGGUGAAGAAUUUCAAAUCCAGGUUCAAGUUCAGAGAUACCACCUGCAGAACAUGGCCAACUUUGAGUUCAUCUCCAACACCAAAUUUUGUAUGAAGAAAGAAUCUAUCUUCAAGUUCAAUCGAAAGAUGAUCAGAUCUUUUGUCACUUUUGAAAGCAUCGAAAACCCGAGACAAGAAUCGAGAGAUGCUGUAUAGAUAGAUCUUUUGUAAUUUCGUUUAUCUUUUUAACUUGUAAUUUCAUUUUGAUGUAAUGACUGGAACCUCGAUGGAACCUUACUCGACUCUCCUACUCGGUAUAGUCCUUCUCUUUCCAAUCCUUUGAGAUACCCGUGAUUUGUUUCCCUCAUAACUUGGGUAGGUAGGAUAUCCUAUAUCAAGACUUGGUCUACCUCCCUCCUUCUGUUUUAUUUUUUGAAUAAUGGUCGGGACAAAAUUCUGCCUCGUUGUCUACUUCUUUGUAUGAAAAUACUUCGUGUUUACAUUCAAAGAGGUCAUGAUGUAGAAACGUAAUUUUGUCCCUCCCCAAAAGCAUUUUUACCUUUUUACCUCCGUCUUACUGCGUGCCCUCACCCGUGUGAUUAUAUUCCACAAAAAUAUAAAAAUAACAACCCUUAACAUAAUCCCUAACAAAUUCUAUCUUGUUUUAAUCCUAUCCUAACCAACUUUACACCUCAUCCUAACAACCUACCCCACCCAAUACCCUCCUACCCCACCUUCCCACGUGACCCCCCUCACAUUUCUUCUCCACAAAGGAAAAAGGAAAUAAUAUAUACACAUGGCAAAGGGGGCCCCACUGGAAUUUUCGGACCCCGCUGCACCUCACCAUUUUCUUUAUAUACAAUAUACAUAUAAAUAUAAUAGGGAAGAGAGUCCAGAGAGGCAACAUCAUCUUCUCCAUUCAUACACUUUACCAUUAUUUUUCAUUUCAUACACAAAAGACAAUUAAUCAUACACUCAUACAACAUCCUCCAUCGAGAAUCCAUAAAAACACACUCAAUAUAUAUCCUAUAGGGACGAUUUCACAGAAGAGGGGAGGCCAUUGUUGAGGACUUCAUUUUUCUUAUUCUUUUUCUGCUGCUACACACACGUGAGAGAGACAAAAAUAGCGAGAGAGAUAAGAAAUAGGGGAGAGAGAUCGAAAGGGGGAAAACAGUUUUUUCGAUGACAAGGUCACUGGAAUAGUGGCUUAAUCACAAAUUUUGGCCAUCCUUCACCAAAAUCUAUCAAAAAACAGUCCUUUCAUCGUUGGCGGAACUCCGACGAAACUAGUAGCUCUAUCCCGUCCCCAAAAACGUUGAAAUAACAACAAAAAAAUAACCACUUAUUGAUCGAACCCAAUUCCCUUUCUUCCAUUUUCUUUGAGCCCAAAACCCCACCCCUUCGUUUUGGUCUUCGCCGAAACUGAACGGAGUAGAAACGGGGUGCAUGAAUCAGUACGGGUCUCUCGUUAUUUCUAGAUUUUUGUUUUAGGUCGGAGAAAACAGAGUGCGGGAUGAGAUUCGGGAAUCUGAUUUUGAUAUUUGAGGUUUGAUUCGAGGUCGAAAUCUGAUUUGGAAUUCGUGUUGAGGUUCGGUUCAACGUUACGGUGCGGAUUUCAUCUCGUUUAAUCAAAUAAUACUUGAAAGCAGCAUUGAGGUCCAAUUCUUUCUUCUCUUCCUUUUAAUUCUUAUGUGAUUGCGAACUUGAUUCGAUGACGUGAAUCGUAGGUGAUUGUGAACUUGAUUUGAUGAUGUGAAUCGUUGGUGAUUAUGUUGGAUUUUGUUGAGGUUGUGAUCAUGUGCUUGACGAUAUGAUUUCGGCAAUAUGUGGUAUGAAUUUGAGUAAUAUUGAUGGUGUGAUUGAUAAAAAUGAAGCUAGAUGGGGUGGAAUUGAGAAAUUGACAAAAAUAGGUGAAUAUAGAUAAAUUUUGAUUAAUUGUUGUUUUGUUUAAUUCGGAAUAAGCAUAAAUAUUGUUGGAACGCGAUAGAAUUAUGAUAUGUUGAAAUGGAUAGGCAAAUGUAGGUUCGGGUAGGCAAAAUUUUUUUGAAUAAGUGUUUUGUUGAAUGUUUUAAUGGGGAAUGUGUGUUGAAUGUUUUCUAGUUUAUCGUACUUGAUUCAAGUGUAUUCAUUUGGCCGGGGAUGCCCCGAGGUUUCAUGUAUUUAGUCACCGAGAAAUGCCCCGACGUAUUAUGUCUUCGACGGAGGAUCGUGAUCAAGGCCCGAGGCAUCGGGUAAAGCAUUGGAGCAUAGUUUUGGAUUAGUGUAAGUUAGAAUAGGAUUUAUAUUUUCGCAUUUUUCUAUUUGGGACUGUAUAAUUGGACUAGACGUUAUAUUUUGGAUUUGAUUGUUUUGUUUGUUUGAUUGAUUGUUUUGAUGUGUUUUUUCUAUGGUUUAUACAUGCAUAGUGUCAAAUUAGUCGAUACGCUCCACCAAGCGACCGUGGUCGAACCACGGGAUCGAGGGGUGCCUAACACCUUCCCCUCGGUCAACAGAAUUCCUUAGCCGGAAUCUCUGUUCGCGGAUUAGUUUUAGAGUCAAACUGUUUUGAAAAGGAUCUUUCAAAGUGACUUGGCACACCGGAUUAUAUCAAGUGGUGACUCUGAAUAAAAAUAUAAAUCUUUUUUCAAAAUAAAUUUUCAGUCUUUUGUCACUUUAAUAAUAAAAACCCUUUCGAACCUUAAAAUUUAAUCUUUUCGGAUUGAAAAAGAGGUGUGACAAAUACCUCCAAAAAAUACCAUCAACCAACUUCACAUCACAAUCACCACCACCGCUACCAAUCGCCACUGUUAUAACAAUCACUGCAAUACCAACCAUCUUUGUCAUCACAACUAUCACCACCAACAUUACUAGUCACGAACAUUAAUCAUUACCACUACCAACAGUACAAAUCAUCUCCACUUUCACUAGCAAACAUAAGAAAAAUAUUUCAAUCAAAUAAUAAUUUUGUUGUAUUAACUCAAAUAUUUUUUUAAUGUAUAAUUAAUUUUUUGUUUGAAUUAUAUUUUUUAUUAUAUGUACAAAUUAAUAAAUUUUACACAUUUAGAUAUUGAAAAAUAAACAAUUUUAAUUAUUCGAUUUUUAGAUUUGAAAAUAACAUCAUAAUCAUUCAAAUAUAUAUUUAGAUUCGAACGUCUGAAUCUUAAUAAAAACAAAUACAGUCCUAAUUUGCUCAACAUACGUUUAGAUAACUUUUAUAUGAAGUAUGCCUUUUGGGACGUAUGUCAUUUUUAGAGGAAAAAAAAUUUGAUAGAUGAGGUAGGAGGAUAAGUGUGGGUUUGUAUGUUGCAUUUCUUCUUCUUUUUUUUUUUUUAGAAAUACAUUAUUCCUUCGAGGAUAAAACAUAAUUUAUGGAAUAAAUCUGUGGAUAAUAUCUUUGCAACAUAAGGCAUAUUAUGUCUUCUACCUCUCUACGAUAUAGGUUGUAUGUUAUUAUGAUGCGAAUACAUAAACUUAAUUAUACCACAAAAAAAUUAUUUGUUGUUUCAGUAUUAGUGGCAUAAUUUGUUACGCCUUUUACAACAUAACUUAUAAAAUAUUUUGAUAAUUAAAUAUAAACUUAUGUCCUAUUAAAAAUUAUGUGCUAUAUAGAUGUUAACGAUAAACAUAAAGACCACGUAUUUAAAAGACAAAAAUACAAUACCACCUAAAAAUAAAACAAAUGCGAGAACUGAAAAUGACACAUAUAUAUAUAUAUAUUAUAGAAGAGCAUAAUAUGAAAGAUCUUUAUAAUUUGAGAGAUCCUUGGAAAAAUCUGGCCAACUUCCUACUUAUUGCCAAGUCGUCUUCUAAAUGUGUGUUAUUACUUUUUCUUCUUUCAAGUGAAUUGUGUCCUUCCAGUAGUUCUUUUUGAUAAAAGUUAGCAUUUACAAGCCACUUUCUGAAUUUAUAGUUGAAAUUUCAUAAUAAUAUUCUGAAAUUUUUAUCCAUGGAAUUAAAAAUUUAAAAAUAAUAAUUAAGUAGUAUUUUUUAAUUACAAAAACUGGAAACUGAACUCUUUUUUUAUGAAUUUCCCACUUCAUUUUGUGGACCACUUUGUCAGUUGAUCUAGCCACUUGGUGUAGUAUCCUAAUUCCCAAGUCUUGGGGGGAUUGGUUGCUUUUGUGUAGUGAGAGGCAGCUAGAAGAAAGUGACUAUUUGUACCAUCGAAGAAAGGAGGUAGUGCAGUGGAUGAGGCUGCUCCUUCUUUAAUCAGAGGUCUCAAGUUUGAGCUUUAAGUAUGAAAAUUUUUUUUAGUAGGGAGCGCUACCUUUCGAAUGGGGCUUUACCUGGCAUAAAUCUGAAUUAAUCGGGCUCCAAAAUGAAUACCGAAUAUCGAAUGAGAAACCAAAAUAUAGAAAGUGACUAUUUGAUGCACUUUUAUUGAGUGAAUUAUAUUAUAAAUCACCUUUAUAUUUUGUACAAGAUAUCUACACUUUUACAUAUAAAAAAUGAAAUUAGCUUCUCUUUAUUAACCCGUAAAUAAUCAUAAGAAAUUAUUUUCACCGUGUUUUCCUUAUUAAUAUGAUCUUUUAAAAAAUUCUCAUUCAGUAUUCGAAUUGGAGUUCGAUUAAUUUGGAUUCACCUAGCAUAGGAUCCAUUUAAAAAAUAUUUUCUACCAAAGAUAUUUUCAUACCUAGAGCUCAAACUCGAAAACUCCAAUUAAAAAAAAAAGUAGCUCCAUCCGAUGAAUUACAUCAUUUGAUGGUAAUAUAAUGAAGUCAUGGUUUAAAUGCCCACAAACAUAUCUUCUUAUCAGCUACUGUUUUUUUUUUUCCAUCAUGGGAAAUAAUAAUUUGGUGAAAAUCAUGCUGCAAGUGCUUCACCAUUUUAUUGCUAAUUAAGUUCAUGAUUGAUGUUUCCCAUAAAAUACUUAUUUUCCUUGGGACACAAUUGAUAUUGCAAUAUUGCUAAGAGCAAAAUGCAGCAAAAACUUCUUUCUUCUCUCUUAAUAUCUCCAACAACAAUAUGAUAUAUAUUCAGCGUAAUCUCACAUAUGAGAUUUGAGAAAAAAAAAAAUAUCUACACAAAUUUUAUCUCUAUGACACUAUUUUUGAAAGACACACUGUCUUUAAUAUCUCUAACCACAAAUUAAAAUGCACUUUUUGUAAUAUUUAUUUUGAUUGGCUUAGAAUUUUUCUAAAUUAGUGUUAACAUAUUCUUGAUGUGAAAAAAGUGCACACAUAACUCCAAUACUAGUAGCUCCAGACUUAUCUCUCUAAAGAGGUAAGGUCGAAAUUAGUUCAUCCCUCGUUUUCCCUGUAUUUGACUAAUACAAAAAUUCAUUUUUCAAUUCAGAAUUGUUAUACUAUCCACAUUCUAUGGUUGAAAAUUUAUACAAGGCAUAAUUAGUUUUUUUAAUUUAUGGGGGUAGGGGUGGCGGGGUGGGAGAGCUAGCAAGAAAUAAUAGACGAUGGAGACAUUUUUGUUCUUCAUAAUCAAUGCUGAAAUCCAAAAUGGAAUGAACCAUAAUGUUUGGAUCAGAUCAUACACAUUCUUGGAGGAUAAUAGUAUUUUUUUUUUCUAAAACAAUUUUAUAACGAAGUACUACUUUUUAUCAUCUAGAUGCCACAGGGAAUCUAGAAAGUCGAAAUUUUUUACUAAAAAUAUAUAUAUGCAUAAUAUAUGGGGUAAUUAAAAUCGGACAUGGUACCUAAAUGAAUCAGUAAGUAAUGUUUAACAAGAAGUAAUACAGGUCGAGUAUGUUCAGUAAUUACUAUCAAUCACUUCAUAACAUUAAUGAUAAAUUUUAUGAGGGUGGAUUGACAAAUCUAAUUUCGUAGGAUCUACCUAUAAAAUAUAAAUUGUGAUAGACUUUCUUUUCAUAAAAGGGGGAUUUAACUCAUAUUAUGGAAUCUUAAGCUCCAUUGUUACGAAAGAUAUCAAUCCAAAAGCUUAUUAAGGUAACGUUGCUAGCCAUCAUAAUCGAGAUUCAAACUUCAUUUGUUUUUUUGUUUUGUUACUCGGUCAUCUCAAUUCAAGUGUUCAAAAAAUCACUUAUAAAAAUACAAUUAAAAUCGAUCGCGAAUUAAAGAUAGACACAUUUGUUAGGAUCGAUUUGCGUACGCACACAUUAAAUCUAUGGAGAGGAUGAAGAAAACUAGAGAGAGAUAAGUGAGAAUGAAUUACGUGGUAACAUUCAUGAGUAAACUCCUCCACGACGAACGAGCUAUUUAUAUUAAUGACUCAGAAUACAGUAAACUCUAGGUAUAAACAUUAAUAUAUAACAGCACAUCACAUAUUAAUCAGGCUCCACAACCUAACAAUAUUCACAUAAAUAAUAAUUAAAAUGAAAUAUCACGUAUCAAUAUAUAUUUUAAAAAUACUAGUAGUAUUUAGCUAUGAAAAUAAGAGCGUAGGCCACUACUGCUAUAAUGGAUAAGAACAUAAAAUAAAUAUAUUAGUUGUUUGACUUAAGAUUAAUCCUCACCCUUUUAGACUAAUGGAUAGAUAUGAAUAUCUUUUACUAUAUGCUUUCUCCAUUUUCGUUGUCACAUUUCGAUAGGAGAUGGAUCAUAGCAUACAAUAGAACGAGACAGAAACAAAGGUGGGGUUAAGUAAUUAUACCUCAAGACAGCUAUUAUUGCUAUGAAAAUGCCAUAAGGUGUAUUCGUGUCUAAAAUUCAUUACUCACGCUGUCUUGACAAAUUAUUGUUUGUAGUGUGUUCAUAAAAAAUGUCAAUUUUUUAAAAUAAUAAUAGUAAUUUGUAGUUACAUAAAUGUUUAAAGUUUGUCUUCUAAAUAAAAAUUAGCCACUUAGACAUUUUACGUCACUAUCCACAUAUAUGAUUCGUCGAUGCUUAAAUUCAGUGACAAAAGUUUUGGAAUAUUGUUUAGAGGACACAUCUAAGGCAUUCCCUAAACAAUAUCAAGGUUUUAGAGUUAAAUGUCUCAAAAGGGAAACAACAAUAUAAAAUCACAUAUUCAUGUACAAGAAUAUUUUAAAAUAGAGGACAAGGGAUUAAUGUCCGUCCAAUUAUACGGCGUCUUGCUAUAAUUUCAGCAGCUUCUAGAAGAGUCCUGGACACGAAGUACUACCUCAAAGAAUACAAAGGGAUAAAGGCGAAUUCAAGAAUUGAAUGAAGCAGAUAAUAUCCAAGAUUUACUGCGCGAUUAUGUUGGCAACCAAGGAUGGAUUUGGAGUAGAAGAAAAAGUAAUGAACCCAUUUGAGUGCUUCACAUUAAGAAAAGAUGUCACAUUUGAUGAGCCAAAAAUUGAAGUGGCUAUUUAUUGGGGAAUAAGGAACUUUGCUACAAGAUCAAUUUAACAAUUUGACCAGCCCAAUUACUGGAUCAGAAUUGGUUUUUAAUGUUAUAAAACCAAGGAGCAAAGUUGUUCUGGGAGGGCUGAAGGAUUUUAAAAAGGGAUUAUGCACGUGGAUAGUGACGUGGAAUGUUCAGGCGGCUAUUUUUAUCCAAAUGGCAUCUUUGGUGAGCCAAAUAUUUAACGGAGGGAUAUUUUUGAGCCAAAAAUCUAACAAGGGGUAUUUCUGAGCUAGUUAAGGAGUAUUUUUGAACCUUUUCCGUAAAAUAUUUAUUUCAAAAGUGUUUUAUUACUUUAAAAAAUUUACAUCAAAUCAAAUAUCAUCACAUAAAUUAGAUCGAAAAGUAUGUUUUCUUUGGCUGAGUAAACAAGUUAAGUUAAUCAAUCAAGUCAUAGAUUAAUUGCAUUUCGUUUGAUUAACUAAUAGACAAAAUAAUCCAAGGUUUUUCGAUUUCCUGGUAUUGCCUAAGUUGUUCUAAAAAGCAGAAACCAGAAAUGGUUUUCGCACAACUUGUUAUAAGUGUAGGUCCUUUUGCAAAAUAAAAAAUAAAUUCAUAACUAAAAUGUAAUGAUUUCAAAUAUUUAAGGUUCUUAACAGUUAGUAAUUAUAUCUUCAAAAAUGAGGGUUCAUAUAUAUUAUCGGGUGGAAAUUAUCUCUUAUAAUUUAUAAUAGCUAGUUACAAAUCGAAUAGAAUAAAAUGGUGAAUUUAAAUAUCCUUAAUUGUGAGUUACACUUUUAAUGAAUUUUAAUACAUAAACAAUUUAUAUAUAUACCGCAUCAAAAGUAUUGAUUUCGGCGAAAUUUGGUGUCGAAAGGCUACAUAGCCUCUAGUAUAAAAAUAAUUAACUUUCUUUAAUUUGCUAAUGAACCAGUAAAAAAAAUUAUUUCUACAUAAACAAGUGAAAGGGAACGAAUUAAAGAAAAACAAUCACAAUCAGCUAUAAAACUUUAAUUCUUAGUUGUAAUACGCCAUAAAUCUCAAUAGAAAAAUAAUCUACAACCCUUUCCUUAAUUCAAAUGCCUAACAUAACUAGAUUAAUGCUCAUCCGAAUCCCCUCGUCAUAUCUCAUUUAUAAUUUUAUAAUAGUUUAAUUAGUGACAUCAUGAGAUAUUUUAUUUAAUCAACUAGACAAAUUAUCGUCGAUGUAAAUGUGUUUCAAUGCAAAUUGCAUUAAAAAAUUAUCUGGCCUAACUAAUUCAAAAUUUUACCAUACAUGAUCAAUUAAAGAAAAAACAUUUUAUUAAAACUGCUUUUGUUUUUAAAACUUCGAAACUCAAGAGAUCUAAACUCAAAGAGAUUGUUAGCCUCCUAUAUAUUUACGUUCUAUGUUUUAAUAAUCAUGACAAAUUAAUGAGUGGACCUUUACGGGAUAUUAAAGAGUGAUAAUGAUGGAAGAAGACCCCGCACAAACGAUAUUGAAGAUCUCUAAUAAUGAGAGGAUAUCUCAUACACCCCUCAAAGAAAACAACGCUAAAUAUGGAGUCACAUCAACUGAAGAUCUCGAUGGACAAGGCAAUCAAAGGAUGAUUGAACGUACCCCUCGGCAAGACCAAACGAAGGAAGAUCACACCCUCUACAUGGACAUAUCUGAUAUGGACAUGUAUGGCAGUGAGAAAGAAAAAUUGCACCAAGUAUAGACAUACCAUAAGAUGCAAACUCCCUCAAUCAAGGAAUCAACCCAAAUCCUUGAUUAAGACGAAAUCCCUUGAGUUUCCUUAUGAGGAAAAGAAGCAAAUGUGGCAAAAGAUUAUAAAGACCAAGACAAAACGCAACUUCAAGAAAGAAUCUCAAAGUAUCUCAAUCUUAGUCUCACAAAGUAUUGUACUUCUUAGUCUACAAUAGUUAUAUAAAGAAUAGGAUCGAGUCAACUUUGUAAUACAAACUGAAGAUGUGUCAGAAGAUCUGAAGAAUUAAAAUAAGUCUUCGAAAUUUGUUUAUCAUCAUUGUACUCAAGCCUGACUUUGAAAAAUCUAAGGAAACUUUGAAACCCAAAGGGAUUGGAAGUAGUCACCACAUUGGUGUUUCAAACCAGGAUAUAUCUUUGUGUCUUUACUUUAAAGUUGAUUAUUUACUUGUCUACUUAUUAAAAUCUAAUCUGUUUUGUGAAGUAUAUUGAUUUGCAGGCAAGUCAACUGUGAAGACUCAAUAGUCGACUCACAGAAAUUUUAAAUUCACCCCCACCUUCUUGAAUUUCAAUUGGUAUCUGAGCAGGUCUAACCAACAGUGUUGCUUAACCGCAUGUGCGCAAAAAUCAAAUGACAAACUAUCAAAUUUUUUGUGCUAUUCUUCAAGACGGUCAUUCCUCCACAAGACCACCAUACUUCAACGGACAACACUACUCCUAUUGGAAGAACAGAUUUAGAAUCUUCGUCCAAUCAAAUGACUUCCAAGCAUGGAUUGUCAUUAAGAAUGGACCAAAGCCAAUUCCAGGACUUAAGGAGAAGCAGAAGGACAAAGACAAAGAAUCGAGCAGUACCGAUAUAGAAGACCUUAAAAGCUUUGAGGUCUCCAAAGAACAACAAGAGGUAAUCCAAACUAAUGCACGAACAAUAAGUUCACUUCUUUGUGCCGUUAAUGGAGAAGAAUACGAUAAUCUAUCAACCUGUGAGACUGCAAAAAAGAUGUGGGAUAAAAUGAAGGUUACCUAUGAAGGAACCACCAAAGUCAAAAAGUCAAAGAUUGCUGCCCUAUUCAAUGAACACGAACUGUUCAAAAUGGAAGAAAAUGAGAACAUUGAAACAAUGUUUGUCAAAUUCAGCAAAAUCGUAUAAGAGCUAAAAUCGUUGGGGAUGAUCUAUCCACAUAGCCUAUAAGUCCAAAAGCUAGUCAGAAGUCUUCCGAAAGUUUGGGAAACUAAGUUUGCUACUCUGGAAGAUGGAGAUCAUAACAACAUGACAUAUGAUAAGCUACGAGGUAAUCUCCUUGCAUAUGAACGAAAUUAUAUCAACAAGUACCACAAGGAGGAAAACAAGAAAUCAGUAGCCUUCAAUGUCGCACCAAAUAGAGAAGAGGACCUAUUGGAAGAAACCAAUAUCAAAGGAAUGACUCUCAUAAAUUGAGGAGUAAGGCAAAUCAUGAGACAGAGACAACAAAGAUCUCAAGAAGCCAAAAAUAACAAUUCCACUAGAAAUGAUGAUCGUUGUUAUCAUUGUGGAAGGUUUGAUCAUUCUAAACAAAACUGUCCAGAAUUAAGAAGAAGAUCAUCUUGAAAGAAUCAGAAUUUUGGAGCCUAAGAGAUGAAGAUGAAACUGAAGAAUAAAUAUAAGCAGCCAAUAUUUAUUUCAUGGUAAAAGGUGAAUCUAGUAAAGUAAAACCACACGAAUGUCAUAAUUAUAAUAUUCUUGAAUCUAACUUAGAUAUGAUAACCGAUGAGCAUCAAAAAGUUAUAGAUGAAAAUAAUAAACUCGUCCAAGAGAAGAAAAGCUAGGAAGCUUGACUUAAACAAAAACUCAAAGAGAAACGAAGAAACUGUCAAGUUGAAUAGCAUUAAAAAUACCAAGUCACAAUUUUGUGAGAUCAAAUUCUUUUAAAACCAACUCAAGUUCCUCAUCAAAAUCGUUUAAAUAAGCCAAGACCUCUUUCUCCUUUCGAGGACCCGUCUGUUAUAUUUGGGACAAAAAGGGAACAAAUCUUACAACUGCAAGAAAAAUCCUAAAAGUGUGUGGGCUUGGAGGUCUAAAGGAAGCACAUUUAACCCGCAUGGACCCAAGACCUCUUGGUUAUCUAAACAAAAUUAAUUUUCUUGUUUUAUGAAACUCCGAUGGGUCCAUCCCCAAGUCUUGAUUCAGACUCGUCUGGAAAGAAUGUUGAUGAAAAGAAGUAUAAGAGAAUGGUUAGAUCACUACUCUAUUUGACCGUCAGUCGAUCAGACAUCAUGUUCAGUGUAUGUAAGUGUGUCAGGUUUCAGUCGACUCCCUAAGAGUCUCAUCUGACUUCCGUUAAAUAAAUUAUCUGAUAUCUCAUAGGAACUCAAAACAUUGGACUAUGGCAUCCUAGCUCUUCUCAUUUCAAUUUAAUUGGAUAUUCAGACGUUGACUUUGCAAGUGAUAAAAGUGAUAGAAAAAGCACUAGUGGAACGUAUUAAAUUCUUGGUGAUGCCUUGAUUUCAUGGCACAGCAAGAAGCAAACUUCAGUUGCUUUUUUCAACAACUAAAGCUGAAUACAUAGCCGUUGAAAGUUGUUGUACUCAAAUUUUAUAGAUUAUGCAUCAACUACUUGAUUUUAAUUUGUCCUUUGAAUUUGUUUCCAUAAUGUAAGAUAACACCAAUGCUAUUAGUUUGUCAAAAUAUAUUGUGCAUCAUUCUAGGACUAAACACAUUGAUAUUAAACAUCAUUUUAUUUGAGAUCAUGUAGAAAAUGGAGACUUUUCUUUAACGUUUGUUGACUCCAAAAAUCAACUGGCAUAUAUUUUUACGAAAUUCUCGUUAGAUAAAAGAUUUUGUUACCUUAGAAAAAGACUUGGGAUUCUCAGUAUUAAUGACCUGUGAGUUUUAUUUUGGGACAAAAUCUUUUUACUUGUUUCAAAUUUCUCUUUAUUUUUUUAUCAAAAAAUUAAUUUUCAAAAAGGGGUCAUCAUUAUAUUCAUCGUUUUUCAUUCCACCUCUGCCACUUCUGCAUUCCUUUACCCUCCCAACAUCUCCCCUUCUGUCAUCUUUUCACUUUCAUCAGUCACUUUUUACUUUACCCCGCUUCGUCUUCUCCCACCAUUUUUUUCCAACAGUCGCCUUCAUCCUCCCUCCUUCUUUCAUACUCUGACCCAUCCUUUCUUCCCCUUUAAAAUCUAACUUCACUCAUCUCCCAUGACAAGAACUUGCUCCAUGGACAGUAUUUCAAAGCCCCUUCCUUAAACUCUUUCCAACAGUCUUGUUCUUCUCUUUGAGUCCUCUAACGAAUCCUCAUUGGAUUCUCAACAAUCAACUCUAAUCAAAAGACGUCGUCCUGAUCUCAUCCCAACCUCCUCUUUCAAGAAACCUCAUACAGCUUCUCAAAACUCCUUCCCUCCUAGGGACAUGCACAAGUUCUGUACAUGCUCUUAAAAAAAUAUAUUCUCUGCCUUUAAAAAUCGCUCCAUUAUACCCGAACACAUAAUCUAUCUCUGUCAGUUAAGAAACCCUUUUUGUAAUGUCAGCCACUUCUUUAAAUUUUAAGAUUUGUCCCUGAUCUUCUGUCUCUGUGGACUUGAGGGUUAUGAGGAUUCUGUCCGCAUGUUCUAUGCGAAUCGACGUGUCUAUCCUGAUAGUGGUGUACUUGAGACUCUUGGGCUUGGCAUAAGAAUUGUUCUGAACGAUUUUCUGUUUGAGAAGGUUUUUGAUACAAAGUUCUUUGGUGUGAUUUCUUUCAUGAAUGGUACCUGGCCCAAAGAUUUUUAGGUAAGUUUUGAAGAAGCAAAAUGGAUCCUGUCUGAUCCGGACACAACAUUGUCCAAUUCUGGCCCCUUGUCUCUGUGUUUCAAGUAUCGCAUCAUUGCCCAAAUAAUCGCUACCAUAUUGAUUCCAAGAAAGGGUUCCCUCGGUAUCAUUACCUACCGUGAUGUAUUUGUUUUGUAUUGUCUGGUUAUGAAACACAAAAUCAAUUGGGCAGCCUGGGUGCGUGAGUGUAUGCUGGAGAGUGCGGAGGAUGUUUAUGCCUCCGCCAGUUUACCAUAUGGCCUUCUAAUUACUCGGAUUCUUUUUUAUCACUAUUAAUCUCUCUAUUUACCCCCUGGUGGAAGUCAUUGGCACUUAUGAUUUUAAAAAUUUUGCCAGUAUGGGCUAUGUUUUGUUUGAUAAUGAGUGAUGUAAGAAGGAUUCUGCUCGAGCAAAAUCUGAACUACCCAAGGUAAGCAAGUUCGUUUCUAACCCAAUAUUACUGUGUUGAAGGAACUGGAGGAAAUCAAAGAUCGCUUCAAAACUAUUGAGGAUAGUGUCACACGGCUGCAGGAGUCGACUUCCAAACUUCUAAACCUUGGUAAGAGCACCAACACUGACAAAGGCGUGGUCCGGUUGGCUCUCGACAGGUUCAAAUAAGAGAGCAUCAAAUUGUUUACUCGAGUGUUCAUUCGCAUGGACUCCCUUAAGUCCCAAGUCCACUCCUCCAAUGAUGAUCUUGCUAUUUUAGAAUAGAACUCCUAUUCCCCCUUCUUCAAAACGUUGAAAAAUUCUAUGACAAAUUCUGUCAUAAUAUGCACAAUACCCUAACAUACUUUCUAGCUGAGCGGUGAAUGAUGACUUUUAUUCGAAGGGAGUGGCUUGUCCCUUAUUUCUGUUGGAUUGGAAGGUGAUUUUUUAACACACCAUCUGCCACACACUUUUUAUUUUUGCCUGGUACUUGAUAAUUCAUUAGAUUUUUUUCCUGCUAUAUGUCUACUAUUCUUUUGCUGCACUGUGGUUCUUUUUUAAUAUGCCAAAAGGGGAAGAAAGACAGAAACAUUGAAAGUGCUGACAAGUCAGGGGGAGCCAGUCGACUAUCAAUGGAUAAGAGUUGACUGAUACUCAAGAAACAGAAGAACAUCCACAGUAUUUACAAGUCAAGGGGAGCAAGCCGACUAUUGUGACAUACAGAAAAGUCAGCUGAUAUAAGUGCUUACAAGUUAGGGGGAGCAAGUCGACUAUUAAUAAAUAAGAGUCGACUGACAUUCAAGAAACAGAAGAACAUUAGAAGUGUUUACAAGUCAGGGGGAGCAAAUUGACUACUGUGACAGACAGUAAAGUCAACUGAUAUUUAAUGUUUGUUUGUCAUUAUCAGAAAGGGGAGAUUGUUAGCAUCGUAUAUUUAUGUUUUAUGUUUUAAUAAUGACAAAUUAAUGAGUGGACCUUUGCACAAUAUUGAAGAUCGCUAAUGAUAGAAGGAGAUCUCUCACAAAGGAUAUUGAAGAUCUCUAAUAAUGGGAUGAUAUCUCGCACAAAAGCAAGAAAUAUCCCCUCAAACAAAACAACGCUAAAUAUGGAGCCAUAUCAAUUGAAGAUCUCGAUGGACAAGGCAGUCGAAGGAUGAUUGAACAUACCCCUCAACAAGACUAAAGGAAGGAAGAUCACACCCUCUACAUGGACAUAUCUGAUAUAGACAUGUAUGACUGUGAGAAAGAAAAAUCGCACCGAGUAUAGACAUAUCUGACAUGGUCAUACCAUAAGGAAAAGAAGCAAAUGCGGCAGAAGAUAAUAAAGACCAAGACGAAGGACAAAAGGCACUAUACAACUCCAAGAAAGAAUUUCAAAGUGUCUCAAGCUUAGUCUCACAAAGUUUUUUACUUCUUAGUCUACAAUAGUUAUACAAUGAAUAGGAUCGAGUCAACUUUGUAAUACAAGCUGAAGCUGUAUCACAAGAUCUGAAGAACAAAAUAAAUCUUCGAAACUUGUUUAUCAUCAUUUUACUUGAGCCCGACUUUAAAAGAUCUAAGACAACUUUGAAACCCAAGAAGACUGGAAGUAAGCACCGCAUUGAUAUUACGAACCAGGAUAAAUCUUUGUGUCUUUACUUUAAAGUUAAUUAUUUACUUGUCUACUUAUUUAAAUCUAAUUUGUUUUGUGAAGGUUCUUCAUUUGCAGACAAGUCUAACUCAAUAGUCGACUCACAUAAAUUUUCAAUCUCCCCUCCCCCUCUUGAAUUUCAAUAAUGAGAGAAUCUUAUUAUUUUAUUGCUCUCCUAAAGUAGCAAUAUUACCAAUUAAACCCUAUAUACUUAGAUGAUCUCACUAGAUAGCUGAAAAAUAAAGCCACAUUUACGUCAUGACCUAACAAUACCAAACAAAUAAAAGAAAAUCCAUGACAACUCUGAAACUAGAUGCUGAUCACAUGUUUAAGGUCCCUAAUAUCUAAUUAUUUUAGGGCUAAUUGAUUCCGUCACAUGCAUGAUAUUAUUGCUUGUGACUCACUUCCAGGUAUUGAUAACCUAUACAACUCUUUUUUAAUGAUAAAAAUCACAAACUCUCAGAAUAAUAAGCAAAUGAAAUCUCUCUGUCAUUACGUACUUCGACUUACCAAACGUAUUAACGCAAUAUCCAGAUUAGAAAAUCUCUAGGGAACAAGAAAAUUAUCAUUCCUAAUUAGUUUAUUUAUUUCGUCAGAUCAGUUGUUAACUUCUAAUUACGUGUCUAAUUUGCAGACGAUGGAUUCAAAUCCAAUCAAGAGUCAGAGAUUCCCUUUAAUUAGUAUGGAUUGUCACUUGUUUUACACUCUUCGUAUAAAUUAGUUUCCCAGAGAAAAAAUUAAUACUACUAAAUAUAUAAAGGAGACACAAUUUAAAAUUGGAAAAUAAUAUGAAGCAAACAAUUAUUAAGGUGAAACAUGAAAUAAAACCGUAAAACAUUUUACAAGGUUAAUAGUGAUGACGAGAUUGACCAGCCAGGUUUUUGAGAGGGUAAAAAUGAUUUUUCUUAAGUAAAUCAAAAGAUAUUUGUAUAGUUGUAUAAAUCAUUUUAUUAAUAAUAAAAUAAAAUAUUUAAAUUAAAUUAUUACUAAAUAUAAAAAUAUAUUACUUUUUAUAGACAAAAAAAAAUUAUAAUUCAAUCUAUUUUAGCCCCUUAAAUAUAAACGAUUUUAAAUUAGGAAAACUGACCUUUUUGAGUACUUUUUAUAAAAUAUUUACUGCUUUUGAAUAUACUUUUUAUAUAUUAUCUAAUUAUAUCAUAUUUAGAAGUUAUUUAUCAUCUAUAGCAAAAUGUACUAUGUACUAUGUAUUAAAAGUGAAUUAUUUAUGCAAUAUAAAUGUAUUAUAAGAUUAAAAUAUAUUAUACUUGUUUAGGUUAAAAAAUGCAUUAUACAGUAAAACAAAUUAUUCAAGCAAUAUAAAUGUAUUAUAAGUGUUUUAAAUUUAUUAUAAUUAUUUUGAUAAAAAUCUACGCUAUGUAUUAAAAGUAAAUUAUACAUAUAUUAAAAUUAUAUAACUAUAAGUAAUAAAUACAUUUUAAAUAUAAUAUAUUUAAAUAAGUUUUCUUUAAAUUAUGAUAUGCUUUUACUCAUUUAUUUUAGAAUCCAUUUUUUUACCAUCAUUACCACUGCACAACCACACACAAUUCUUGCAAGUGCGAGUAAUAUUUUAGAUCCAAUUGGUAUGGUGUAAAUAUACAACUUUUGCAAAACCAUGGGAAAGUUCAUUAUCAUCAGUUCAUCACCACAUAAAAAAGAAUAAGAAUUUGCGCCAAUGGCCGAACAAAUCCUACGUGUGAUUGACAAAGAGAGAAAGCAAAAAAAUAGAAUUAAAAAAAGAAAUAAUUGAAGUACCCCUUCUGUUUAUCCUUUCUUUCUCGUCAAGCAUAUUAAAAAUAGCCGUAUUUAAUAUUAUUUAUUUAAUUUUAAAAAAUUAGUAAAAGAUAAUGUAUUAUCUCUACUUAAGCUGUUAUUAAAAUAAUACUAAACUUGUUUUCAAUAUUCAGAUGAUUUUAGUUAAUAGGAUUGAUAUAAUAAAAAUAUUUUUAUUUUAAUUAGCAGUUUUUAAAAACUGUGUCAAGUAAGACAUGAAUGAAUAAAUAAAGAUGAAAGGAACGAGUAAUUGCGUGAGCCUGUGGUUGAGAUCACAGCCGUUGGAUUCCAUUGACUUGGUUAAUCAAGUGACACCUCGUGUUUAACGUGGUACGGGGAACAAAUCCAUCUUCAACUAACUAAACGCCACGUGUCCAGGAAUAAUUUAAUGACGAGGAUGGACGUGCAACCGCAAAACCUUAAAUUAAAAUAAAAAAUAGUAAAAUAAAGGCAUUACUAGAAUAUUUGCUGCCCGACGGGUACGGGCAGAUUAAUUCGGGCAGUGGGUAGACAAAGACUUUGAAAAUUGAGCCCGCAUGUCUUAAAAUGGUCCCCAUACAGUUUGGUCCCACCAACUUCAAGGUUCUUAAUUGGCUGUCCUCUAAUUAUUACUCCAUAUGGAAGGUGGGGCCCAACGGUGUGUUGUAGCGUGGGGCCAAGUGGGACCCACGCUGACACAGCUCCAAUGUGGGAGGAAAGAAAAAUGACAAAGCGAAAAAAUGGAACUUCUCUAGAGACAUCAUGAAAUGUCUCUAUGAUGAUGGGAGUGUGGGGGAAAUAAUGGUGUUUUUCUUUGCUUUUUUAUUAUCAUAGUGGAGUUUUUAUUUUUUAGCAUGUGCUUUUGUCUUUUUAGUGAUAUGUUUUUAUUCAAUUUAUCAGAUAAUAUUUGAUAUUUAUAUUAAAAUUUAAUUAAAUUUGUACUCACGAAUUACAGAUCUCAUUUUUUGAGGUAAAGUUUUCAAUAGUAAUUUUUUAAUUUUUAUGUAAGUGGCUCAAAAUUAAAACUUCUAAUUAAAAGUGAAAGAAUAGUGAAUCAUCGGAUCAUGACUCAUAUAUUUAUUUCUUGGUGGUAUUCAAGUUUGCUUUUGGCUAGUCGGGUCCUUUGUAUGGGAAAAUUAGCUCCAGAAUUUUGUUCUACGGAUUAAGAAAACCUUAAAUGUUUAAUUAUGAGUUCAGUUUUGUCUUCAUCAUUUAAAAUGAAAAUAAAUUAACGGCAAAAGGAUCUUAUUCACUUGAUUUCUGUACUAAUAUAAUUUUUAUGCUUACAAAAUAAUAUUAAAAAAUACACGAAAAGUUGAUAUAAUGCAGGGAUGAUCGAUCAGUAGCAAAAUUUUGAUUGUGAUGUAUGUUGAAUAAUUUUAAAAAGUGAAAAUAGAAGAGUAUUAUAAAUCAAAUCCAAGAUAAAAAGGAAAAAAAGGAAAAGCACAGUCGUAAAACUAAAUUGGAAAAAUGAGUCAUAAGAUGCUUUAAACUAAAAAAUCUUUGCAGUACGGCAACUUUAUGUACUUUAAGAAGAAAAAAAACAUGGCUUAACCAAAAAAAGGUGAAAAAUAGUCUACAUUGUAAUAGUAGAUUUGCAACAUAAAGAAAAAAAAAAACACCGCAAAUUUAAUAAAAUAUAAAAGUUCAUGCACUUGUCAAUGAUUCCCUAAAACAUGAGGGAGCAAAUUGUUAAUAAAGCAGUUUUCGCCCACAAAAAAGUACAAAUUGAGAAAAAGUAUUCUUGUUUGCUGUCAUAACCGAAUUGGCUUAUGUAAUUACUACUAUAAUACUGCCAUUAUUCUACCCCUUGGAUUCUGAAAAACUGCUAAUGGUUUUUCUCAUUUUGCUUUUUAACUAUUUAUGUUUGCUCUCUGAAGUCCUAGAAUUACUACUAACAGUACUAAUAUUUUACAGUACUAUUUAUUAGUGGUCCAUAUUUCAACCAAUUAAGUUAAGAAAUAAUCUAUUCUUUAUUUCAAUUUAUGUGAUACAUUUUUAUUUUUAACGUCUCAACAAAGUGAUGAUUUGCACAAUCAAAACUCAAAAAUUCUUCUUACAUCUCGAGUUUCAAAAAUUUUAUGUUCAAUUAAAUAAUGACACGUUAAUCGAAAAGGAGACGAUGGUAAUGUUAUACAUGACUUUAGGGGCGGAGGCACGUGGGUGCAAGAGGGUCAUUUGAACUCCCUUCGAAGAAAAAAUAUAUUGUCUACAACAACAACAACAAUAUAUUCAGUAUAUUUUACAAAUGAGAUCUGAGAAGGAUAAAUGUACGCAGUUCAUACCACUAUCUCAGAAUGAAGUAGAGAAGUUUUCAACAGACCUUCAGUUCAAAACAAAAAAGCAUAAAAGGACAUUAUAAAAUAAAAAGAAAAUGAAAUAACACAACAAUAGAUCAUAAAAAAAAAAAAAAAAAAAAAAAAAAAAAAGACACCAAUAAAGUAGUACUAUAAAUCAUUUAUCUAAAAUCACAAAUAUCAUAAACACGAAAUUACCAGACACGCGCAUAGACUAUGACUACUAACAUGACUACAAAAAAGCAUUCCACCCUAUUAGUAAGAACACACUCUCAUCUACUACCUCUGUACCUAAAUUCGCGUCCUUCAUACCUUGUUGUUUAGGCUCAUGUCUUCAAUAAGCUGAAGUUACUUUACGUCAUGUCUAAUCACCUUUCUUCAAUAUUUUUUCGAUUCACCUCCACUUCGUCCGACACCAUUCAUAGAUAACCUCUUACCUCCAUGUCAGUCACUAUUGAUUAUUUUUUUUUAGUGAGAAAUUAUCAAAAAUAAUAUCUCUGACUUCCAAAGUAAAAAUGAGGUCCGAAUGUACUUCAUUCUCUUCGGAAAUCUUAGAAGCCGUUUGCUCAUACAUAUUUUUUUUUUUUCGAAUUUUUUUUUUACUUUAUGGAAUCAUGGUGUUUGGCCAUAGAUAGUUAGAAAACAUUUCAAUUUUUUUUUGAAAAAAAGUGAAAACAACGAAAAGUUAUUUUCAUUUUUUUUUCAACUCCAAUUUCAAGUUUUUUUUUUUAUUAUAUAUAACCCUAAUUCUUUUAAUAUUACAUAAAAGACCUUUAAAUGGUUUAAAUGAGUUUUGGAGCAAAUCCGGAAAGAAAGACAUUUUUUAUGAACAACAAAUCAAGUUCGGACACAUUUUUUAAAGACAUUUUUUCUCGGUAAAAGAUAUUUUUGAACAACAAAUCAAGUUUGGACACAUUUUUGAAAGACAUUUCUUCUCGGUAAAAGAUAUUUCUGAACAAUAAAUCAAGUUCGGACACAUUUUUAAAGAUAUUUCUUUUUUGAACAACAAAUAAAGAUUUUUAAGUUAAAAGAUCGGUAUAUUUUUAUUAUUUAUAGGUAUAUUUUAAUUUCUAAGCUUAGAACACCUUGCAUCAUUGAUGUAAAAUUCUUUUCAUUCAUAAGUAUAAUCAGUAGAUAAAUUAGUUGGACAAUUUUGAUAGUUUUAAAAAGUUUGAGAUAUAAAAUUAAAUUAAAAAAUGACUUUUUAAAAAUUAAAACACGUCUUUAAAAAAUAUAUGAUUAAAUACAACUCUACCUCCAACUUUAAAAUUUUUUAAUUUUUAUGGCCAGUCGCUAUUGGUUGCUAGUAAAAAUUAUGACUUUGGCAGUCCUUUAAUUAUUUAAUAAAUGACGUAUAAACCCAAUUAAUUUUAUUUUUUAAUCCUCUUUCCGUUGGCCAACAAUUAUAUAAUAGAGUUAUGGGCUCCUCUUCCCCCUCCUCCUAGAAUCUCCUUUACUCAUUCUUCUCUGCACUUAUCAAUCAUUCAUCUCUCAGUAAGAUCCACUUUCCUUACACUACAAACACAACUCUCUCUUUUCCCUUUCCAAAUUUCAUCAUCAUAUAUACAAAAACAACAAUGGCUGCACUGUAUUACACUGGAUGUGAAGACCACAACUACCAACCCCAUUUUCUUGAUGCUUGUUCUCUUUGCCAAAGAACCUUGGCUCACAACCAUGACAUCUUCAUGUACAGGUUAGUAUUUUACAUAUGGAUAUAAACAGUUUAAAUUGUGAAUUCAUCUCGGUUAUGAUCUUAUAUACUACGAGGGUUUGGGAAGGAUGACGCGUACACAGUCUUGCCCCUAUGAUCUAUAUAGUAUCGCGAGACCUCACUUGUGAAGUUACACCGGAUAUUAUUGUAAAUAAAGAAAGAUCUUAAACCCAUAAUGAUUCUAGUUUUAGUUGUUGAUCUGAUGGGAGUGAAAUUCUUUUGUUUUUGAUUACAGAGGGGAUACACCAUUUUGUAGCGAAGAAUGCAGACAAGAACAAAUAGAAAUGGAUGAAGCUAAUGAAAGAAAAUGGAAAAUUGCAGCAGCAAAGAGAUCAUCAUCAAGAACAAAGACAGAGACGCCUACUAAAGAAACUGAUGCAAAUAAAGCUGUACGAAAUGGAACUGUUGCAGUGGCUUGAUGAUCUUUAUUAAUCCUCACAUAAAGUAAUCGAUCUUGAUGAUGAUCAUGGAAGCUAUAACUCAAAAAAAAAGAUAAGAAAAAUUAAAUAAAAGACGAGAAAAAUGGCUUCUGAUUUACGAUAUCAAGUUAAAUAAGGAGGAAUUUUGAGUACAGAAAUCUUGUGUAAAAAAAUAUAUGAUGGGAAUUGCAAAGAGAGUAAAUCCUAUCAAACAAUUUUGUUGAAUCUUUUUUUUUUUUCUUUUUGCGGUUUCUAAUUUAGCUUUUGUCAAAAUAUGGUGGGAGUGUCUGUAAAAAUGGGCCGUCCAUAUAUGGUAAUCUGAGAUCUCUAAUCUUUGUGAUCAUCUUUUUCAUCUUUGUUCUUAAUUCUCUAUGUUAAUUUUCGUAGAGAUAUUGUUACCUUCUUCUUUUUAUUUUUAUUUUAUUUCGAUAUUUUGAUAUCCGCUUUGAGCUUCUCGCUAGCUUUAAUUUACCUUAGGUAAAACUUAUUAAAGAAUAUGAAUUGUUCCCUCGAAAUCCG